Molecule: ribosomal RNA, 431 nt
Filed under: Austrovelia caledonica
Lineage: Eukaryota; Metazoa; Arthropoda; Insecta; Hemiptera; Mesoveliidae
Description: partial 16S ribosomal RNA
Source: RNAcentral
GUCUUUUAGAUUUUAAUUUAAGGUUUGUCCUGCUCUAUGAUUUAUUAUUAAAUGGCUGCAAUAAUUUAAUUGUACAAAGGUAGCAUAAUCAUUUGUUUUUUAAUUGGGAACUAGUAUGAAUGGUUUGAUGAAAAAUUUUUUUUAUUAAUUUAAUUUAUUGAAUUUUAUUUUAAGUAAAAAAUCUUAAAUUUUUUUAUGGGACGAGAAGACCCUUUAGAAUUUUAUUUUAAUUUAUUUAUUUAUAUUUGAUUAAUUUUUAUUUAUUUAAUUUUAGGAUUUGAUUGGGGUGAUUGGGGAAUUUUUUUAACUUUUUUUUUAUUUUUCAUUAAUUUUUGUUUUUUUGAUCCAUUUUAUUGAUUUUAAGAUUAAAUUACCUAAGGGAUAACAGCGUUAUUUAAUUGGAGAGUUCUUAUUGAUAAUUAAGUUUGCGA